UGGGGGGGUAUUUAUGAGGCUGGGGGGGUACUUAAGGGGCUGGGGGGGUACUUAUGGGGCUGGGGGGGAUCUGUGGGGCUGGGGGGGAUCUGUGGGGCUGGGGGGGGAUCUCUGGGGUUGGGGGGUACUUAUGGGGCUGGGGGGGAUCUGUGGGGCUGGGGGGAAUCUAUGGGGCUAGAAAGGAUUUAUGGAGCUGGAGAAGAUCAGUAGGAUUUUACGGGGUUCUUAUGGGGUUGGAAUGGAUCUAUGGGCUUGGGAGAGGAUCUAUGGGGCAGGGGGCGAUCUAUGGGGCUGGAGGAGACCUAUAGGGCACGGGGGGGGGGAUAUAUGGGGCACGGGAGGGAUCUACGGGGCUGGGAGGGGAUCUGUGGGGCCGGGGGGAACUGUGGGGCUGAGGGAGAUCUAUGGGGCUGAAGGAAAUCUGUGGGGCUGGGGGGGAUAUAUGGGGCUGGGAAGGGAUCUAUGGGGCUGGAAGGAUCAGCAGGGUUCUGUGGGGUACUUAUGGGGCUGGGGGGUACCUGUGGGGCCGGGGGGGGCCGUGGGGCCAGGCGGGGGCGCUCACACACAGCACACAGCACAGCGGGACCCACAUUGAGGUACGUGCAGGAGGCGCACGGCCAGACCCACAGCGACGGCGCCUCUGCGGGGCUGCCCCAUAGCGGCCGCUCAGCCACCCCACAGGGAACACAGGGACCCAUAGGGACACAUAGGGACCCCACAGGGACCACAGGGACCCACAGAGACCCAAAAAGACCCAUAGAGACCCCAUAGAGACCCCAUAGAGACCCAUAGAGACCCAUAGAGACCCAAAAAGACCCAUAGAGACCUCAUAGAGACCUCAUAGAGACCCACAGGAAUCCAUAAAGAUCUAUAGAGACCCACAGGAACCCAUAGAGACCCCACAGGGACCCAUAGGGACCCACAGGGACCCCAUAGGGACCCAUAGAGACCCAUAGGGACCCAUAGGGACCCCACAGGGACCCAUAGAGACCCAUAGCGACCCAUAGGGACCCAUAGGGACCCCACAGGGACCCAUAAAGAUCCCUAGAGACCCCAUAGAGACCCCACAGAGACCCAUAAGGACCCACAAAGACCCCUAAAAACCCCAUAGAGAACCAUACCAACCAAUAGGGACCCAUAGAGACCCAUAGAGACCCCAUAGAGACCCCAUAGAGGCCCAUAAGGACCCAUAGAAACCCAUAGCGACCCCAUAAAGACCACAGGGACCCACAGAGACCCAUACAGACCCCAUAGAGACCCAUAGAGACCCCGUAGAAGCGCAUAAGGACCCAUAAAAACCCAUAGCGACCCCAUAUGGACCACAGAAACCCAUAGAGACCCAUACAGACCCCAUAGAGACCCAUAGGGACCCACAGGGACACACGGAGACCCCAUGAAGACCCAUAGAGGCCCCAUAGAGACCCAUAAGGACUCAUAGAGACCCCAUAGAGACCCAUAGAGAUCCCAUCGGGACCCACAGUGCCCCACAGAGAUCCCACAGCGCCCCAUAGGGCCAUACCUUUCCCCCCCCGAGGUGGGGGUCGCUUGUGGGGCCGCUCCUGUGGGGACAUAUAGGGUCAGCCCGGCACCCC
Molecule: long non-coding RNA, 1592 nt
Organism: Gallus gallus (chicken)
Lineage: Eukaryota; Metazoa; Chordata; Aves; Galliformes; Phasianidae
Source: Ensembl